This 751-nucleotide long non-coding RNA is filed under the name Gossypium raimondii (Peruvian cotton). RNAcentral's name for it is "long non-coding RNA (GRAI_LNC001133)". Lineage: Eukaryota; Viridiplantae; Streptophyta; Magnoliopsida; Malvales; Malvaceae. The record is from RNAcentral.
CCAAACUUUUCUAAAAUUAUAUUUUGACUCCUUAAUUUUUUAAAAUUACAUUUUAACCCCUUAACUUUCUUAAAGUUGCAUUUUGACCCUAGAAGUUUUGCUCCCUUUACAAUCUGGUCCUUCUAGCACAAAAUCCCCAGCCGCCAGGCGCGACUUACGCACCUACCCUCCGCGAUUUCCGAUGACCGGCGUGGGUAGGAGGCCCUCCUCCAACUUCUACUUGAAAAAGGAGAAAAAAAUCAACAAAAUAAAAGGGAUCUUCCCUUUCAAAAUAGGCAGCAAGAAAAAGCAAAAAUAAAAUAAAAACAUAGCAAAAAAAUAAAAAAAUAGCAGCCAAAAAGAUUUGGCAGUGCCUCACUGCCACCGUGACCACCGCCGCACCACCACCUUCCCUCUUCCACCAUCGCCAAAACCUAAUCAACAAGAAAGAAUAAAAAAUAAAAAAGGCAACCAAAUAAAAAAAACAACAAAAAAUCAAAAAAUUCGGCUUACCUACAGCCUAUCGCCGCCCUUUUGCCCAUCGCUGCCACCGUGACCGCCCCAUUGCCUUGCCUCUUCCACCAUUACCAACACCCAAACAACCAAAACAAAACGAGAAGGAAAAAGGGAGAAAGAAAGGAGAAGGAAAAAAAGAAAUAAUAGAAGAAAAAAAGAAAAGAGGAGAGGAGGGGACGGAGCGCCGGCGACUGUCGUACCGCCUGGCAGAGGAACCGACGGCGUGAAGGGGGCUAGGGCUUGAGAAGAAGGAGAA